GAAACAGCUUGCUGUUUCGCUGACGAGUGGCGGACGGGUGAGUAAUGUCUGGGAAACUGCCCGAUGGAGGGGGAUAACUACUGGAAACGGUAGCUAAUACCGCAUAACGUCGCAAGACCAAAGAGGGGGACCUUCGGGCCUCUUGCUAUCGGAUGUGCCCAGAUGGGAUUAGCUAGUAGGUGGGGUAACGGCUCACCUAGGCGACGAUCCCUAGCUGGUCUGAGAGGAUGACCAGCCACACUGGAACUGAGACACGGUCCAGACUCCUACGGGAGGCAGCAGUGGGGAAUAUUGCACAAUGGGCGCAAGCCUGAUGCAGCCAUGCCGCGUGUAUGAAGAAGGCCUUCGGGUUGUAAAGUACUUUCAGCGGGGAGGAAGGGAGUAAAGUUAAUACCUUUGCUCAUUGACGUUACCCGCAGAAGAAGCACCGGCUAACUCCGUGCCAGCAGCCGCGGUAAUACGGAGGGUGCAAGCGUUAAUCGGAAUUACUGGGCGUAAAGCGCACGCAGGCGGUUUGUUAAGUCAGAUGUGAAAUCCCCGGGCUCAACCUGGGAACUGCAUCUGAUACUGGCAAGCUUGAGUCUCGUAGAGGGGGGUAGAAUUCCAGGUGUAGCGGUGAAAUGCGUAGAGAUCUGGAGGAAUACCGGUGGCGAAGGCGGCCCCCUGGACGAAGACUGACGCUCAGGUGCGAAAGCGUGGGGAGCAAACAGGAUU
RNAcentral lists this ribosomal RNA (714 nucleotides) under Shigella flexneri. RNAcentral's name for it is "bacterial SSU rRNA". It matches the Rfam family "Bacterial small subunit ribosomal RNA", at positions 72 to 779 of the family's 1533-position model. The record is from RNAcentral. Lineage: Bacteria; Pseudomonadati; Pseudomonadota; Gammaproteobacteria; Enterobacterales; Enterobacteriaceae.